This is a long non-coding RNA of Mercenaria mercenaria, 7035 nucleotides long. RefSeq lists it as uncharacterized. The record is from RefSeq and is a predicted model, not a curated record. The transcript has 3 exons. Lineage: Eukaryota; Metazoa; Mollusca; Bivalvia; Venerida; Veneridae.
UACACUGUGACCUUGACCUUUGUCUUACUGACCUUAAAAUCAACAGAAGUCAUCUGCUGCUCAUGACCGACCUCCCUGUCAACUUUUAUAUGCCAGAACAUUCUUGAGUUAUUAUCCGGAAACCGAUAAACUGAUCCUUUUCACUGUGACCUUGACCUUUAACCUAUUGAUCUCAAAAUCAAUAGAGGUUAUCUGCUCGUAAUUCACCAACCUUCCUGUCAACUUUCAUGAUACUAGGCUUAAGCGUUCUUGAGUUAUCAUCCAUAAACUGUUUUGGGUCACUGUGACCUUGACAUUGACCUACUGAUCUCAAAAUCAAAGGGGUCAUCUGCUUGUUAUUACAUGAAUCCCUAUCAAGUUUCAUGAUCCUAGGCCUGAACGUACUUGAGUCAUCAACCAGACACGGAUGGGUCUACAUACCGACCGACAGACAGACUGACACCUGGAAAACAAUAUACCCCUCCUACUUCAAAGGGGGGCAUAAUAGGCUGUUUAACUGUAAAAAAAGUAUUAUGGGUGUAACGAUGUCAGUCUCAUGAUAAAAUACAUAUCGUGACACACAUGCAACGGUACAGUACAUAUCACGAUAAAAAUAAGUACAAUAAGUGACAAAAGUAAAGAAAAUCAAUGAUGAGUUCCUACACUUGGAAAGUCCUUGAAUUGUGCUUUUCAGCUGAAGAAAUUAUUAUAAAUGAUGCAAGUGUUGGUUUACUAUAUUUAACACUGAUUGUAUGAAAGUUUCCGUUCAACGUUUCUGCUUCCCACUGUAUUGUUUCUGUAUCAUGAAACAAUACUAGAAUCACAUACUACUGCAACAGGAUACAGAAAAUUUCAUAUAUUGUUACACCCUUAUUAAUUAACAACAAAAACAAAGCCUUCGUGAUAUUUUCUUACACAUAAGACCCCAAAACACGGGUUAUUCUACGAUAGACCACGUUUGGGAACUUAUGACUUCUUAAAUAUACAUUCAUAAAAUGCCAGUGAGGCAAGUUUAUGCUAUAAAGUAGUUCUGCACGUUUGAAUCAAUUUUUUUUCUACAAUGUAAAUUUUAAAAUUACAAAAUUCUACUUAUAAAAAAGGCUGUUGUGCUUGAUUUUUCUACUAGAUUUAUUUGAAAAAAUUGGACCUCAAGCAAUUGUCCAUAAUGAGAGUCUAUAAAAAACAACAUAACUUUCGUAACAUGUUCGCGAAUAGAAACUCUUCUACAAUCACGUGCUACAAUGUAGAUUUUCAUGACUAAGCAUAUAUCCUAUAAUGUGGUGAAAUAAAAUGUAAAGGUCUGUGUGCUUAUUUAUUAGACAUUUAACCAUGAAGGAAAAGAACUGCAAAUUUCACACCAAUUUUAUGUCAUUAUUUAGAAAAACUUAACGUGUCAUACAUUUAUAUUUUUUAUCUUUAAACAGAUAACAAAAGUGCCAUUGUACUAAAUUUACUCACAGGCUGCCAUUUAUUCAGUAAACUGUUAUAAUUUCCAUAUGCCGACCAGGCUUUAUUCUACGUUUUCCGUAUAAAUGACGUUACCACAUCACUUCCGGUUUAGCAAACGUGCAGAACUACCUUAAUGUCAACAUAAAUUCAUUAUUAGAGAUGUAAUCAUUACAAACAAUGUGCAUGUACCAGAAAACGUUCCCAACGGAUUUCAAUUGGAGAUCUUGGGGAGACAGCGACAGUUUAUCACAUUGUCCCCAAAAGUCCUAUUAUUUGGACUAAUACGUUUAAGUUUAUACAUCAUGUACAGUGAUUUAGGGUAUAGCGGAUUUUAGGGUAAAGAAGGAUAGGUUAAUAAAUUUUGUGUUAAGACUUGAAUUAUUGUAUAAAAUUUUCAAAUCAUUCUUGUAUUUGCAUGCAGAUAGACAUUCUGACAUUAUUGUUGAAUGUUUGCUUGUAAUGUUAUUUUUCAUAUGCCAAAAACUGAAAAUCAAGGCUAUCCUGAACUGACCUAAUCAGUGUAUGUAAAAAGAAACAUUAGUGAAUGAAAAGUAUUUGAUAGAAAUUUAAAAAGAGAAUACAUGUUCAUGAUGGUUUAUACGAGUUAUAGAGAAAAACAUGAAUUAAAAGAAUAGACGCUGAUGUACUGUUAGACCACCUACAAUCGUUCGCCAUCGACCAUUAUCAAAGGAAGCUUCCUUCAUAUUCUAAAGGAAAAUAAUGCAUUACAAAACAAAAAAAACUUACAUCUGUGUAUAUUCAUGAAUUUCUAAGUGCAUGAAUUACUGACCACAGCUAGCUAGAUAAAUGACUAAGUCUACACUAGCUGGAUGUACCCAAAUUUUCUCAACACUUGUACUUAUCGGCCACACCGCACUGUGCUUCCAAUAUUUAAAUGUGAUAACUAGGACAAAUGAUACUCGCAAGUAUGCUUACAAUAUCAAUGUGGCAGGGAACCAUAUAUUAUAAUUAGCCGUCUUUUUAUGUGGCGGGCGGUUUUUGUUUUCCAGGACUUGAGAAUAACUCCAAAAACAAUAAAGAUCUCGUUCAGAAAUAAAACACACUUAACUUGCAGUAAUUUUCCAGGCAGAUAGAUCAAAUAAAGUGUGACAAAACACUGGGAAGAUACAUGCACUAAUUUCUUGGGCGGAUUAGCUUCGUUCGUUGUUUCUCGAAUUUUUUGGGGUACUUCAUGGAUUAAUAAAUUACAGAUGGAGAAAAUGACAACAAUAAAAAAAAAAAAAAAGAAAAUAGCAUCACUUCUGCGAUAUAAAAAAAUGUAUAGGCACUAUGAAUUAAUUUCAGAACCCAGAACGUCAACUUAAUACUGCCUUGUUGAUUACUUAGCCAUUCCAGAACGUGUAACAGUUACUGGCUGGUUUGUUGUUUCAGAACGUCUAAGACGAAAUUAUGACUUUAUGGUUCCGGCACUUCUACCUUUUGCUGUACCGAAUAACAGACUUUAAAACGGUUUCUUGUAUAAUUUCAGCUUUUAUUCUUCCCUGAAGCCAUUUAACGCGGUUAUUGGCCAUGGUAAAACAGUAUCAGUGUUUGGUAUGUAAAAGGCGCGAAAAUGCAAGAAAUAGACGCCCUGUGAGCAUUCCUAUCAAGAAAUAUCUCCAGAAACAGUUUGGUAUCUACCCAACGGAAUCGAUAUAGUAUGUGGUGCAUGUAGGAUGAAGUUCCGUGGAAAUGUACAGAAAGGCAACAUCCCGCCAUCUGCAUCAGCAAGCACGUGUAAUAAUGAUUCAGAUGGAGAGUAUGUCCCACUACAGUCAACAUCUCGACAAAAAAUCUUUAGUCCACCCUCUGUGCGUAACAAUAUCAAUUCAAUAUUUGAUAAGUAAUUACAAAAUCCAAAGGGAUUGAUGAUAUCCAUUAAUUAUAAACAACGCUGUUUUAUACAACAUUUCGGCUUUAUUCGCCUUUGUCAAAUAUAAAUGUUCUGAGAUGAUCACAUCAGAUUUCGACCAUGUUGAUUGCUUUCUCAUUAAUAAUAAUACGGAUAUAACGUUACGUUAUCAUAGCUUAAAACAAGCUAUAACGCGCAAGUAAGCGUUGACUAGCUGAAAUUCAUAUCUUUAACGGAACAGUGACGACUAAGUCAUAAGACCCAAGUUACAUGGGUCAUUGAAGUUGUGCCAGUUUUUAUAAAAUCCAUCUUAAGAUGAAAAUUAUAUAGGUAUUAAAAAUUUAAUUACCUCCCUUUAUAGUGUACGAAAUAUAUUAUAAACAAUUUAUAGUCAAAAAAGAAUAAGGAUUCUGAUAGAAUCUAUAAAAUAAUAUCGAAAAUAAUGUCUUAACUAAAUUUACAUUACAUAUAAUAUCAUAGAAUGUCUGUGAAAAAACGACUCAUACAAUUGCUUAUUUAUUUUCAGGUACUACUGCAGAUUUUAUCUACAGGCAGGUCCCAUUCAAGAUGUUUCGUGUGUAAACGACCGGGGAAGAAGUUGUAACACUCUCUAAAGAUGGCCGUUUUAAUGCAUUCUUGCGACACAACAUCAUGAUAACAGACGCCUGAUGUUGCCAUAGACACCUGAUUGAUGGGUGUUUACGCCAAGAAUGUAUUGGUCAUGUGCAGACCUUAGCAGUCACAUCUUUUCUGAAUCGGUCUACCAUUAAUGACUUUCUGCAAAAGUUACGUAUAGCUCUUCCGAACCAGAGAAAUUCCCUUAACUUCGAUACCAUGAGUGAUAGUACCUACCAAUCAAUGACUGGGCUGUGUCGUGCACAAUUCGACGAUGUAUGUGGACACCUAGUAGAUGAAGUGAAAAAAACGCCGAACCGAUCCUCAGCAACCAGUGUUGGUUUGUUCCUGGUUAAGCACUUUACGAGAAUGAGCAAUGAUGUCAUGUCAGUUAUUUUUGGAAUUGAUAAGUCAAGUGCAAGGCGGGCAAUUCAUACAGUACGACAGGCAGAUAUGCGUGGUUUCGUCUCGUUGUACCUAGGUUUAGAAUGCAUAACGAGAGAAUCGAUCAUCAGCGAACAUACACGUCCACUCGCAAAACAGUUGUUUGCCACAAGUGAGGGUCAGCUGAUACAUUAUGUAUUAGUUCUUGAUGGGACCUACAUAUACAUUGACAGAUCAAACAACUUUCAGUUUCAACGGAAAAGCUAUAGCGUGCAUAAAGAUAAAAAAAUGUAUUCAUGAACAAACUUGUUGUGUAAAUGCAUUCAUCUCAGUUAAACUCCGUUACGACGAGAUAUGCGUCUAUACGACAGCUUUAUAGGAUGUUACAACAUGCGCUGCGUCUCGACGACAGCCAUAGCGCAGUCAUCAAGACGCAACUCUUGUUGUAACAUCCCAUCGCACUGUCGUCAAGACGCAGCUCCUGUUAUAAUAGAGUUUUAACGGGAUGGUAGUAUGGUCUAACUGUCAUUGUUUUGACCAAUAUAUAUUUACAUGCAUAUUAGUUAUAGACCUCGACAAUACUCGUACAUUGAAUAGUGAGAGCACUUCAUAUGCAAGAAAUCACUUGUCCAUCGUUUGAAUAUUAGUCAGAACUAUCAAUAUAUUAUAAUCAACACUUAGAAUAUUUUUAUAUUUCCAGUAGCUGCAAUUCUUAUAAUUUCAGAAACAUUUCUAUGAAUGUGUAACUGUCAUAUAAGUUUUAUAUAACAUAUAUCUUAUGUUAUAUAUGACUCGAGAUGUACAUAAUUGACAAAUAUAGGACAUGAUAUUACGCUAUGACCCGAUCGUCUUGUAGGGUACUUAAUUACAAUUGUGAUUGUAAAACUAUGUGGUGAUUUAAAACAUGUUUGUAUAUCUAAUUAACAAUUUAUAUACUUAUACUUAAAGGUAAGCCUCUUGUCAAGCCCAUGGUAGUGGUUACAACGACGAUUGUUGGACCGUACCUUGCGGAUGGAAAGAACAAUGACGCAGCUAUAUUUAAUCACAUGCUACGACAGAACAUGGACGAUAUACGGACAUUUCUACAAGAAGGGGAUAUAAUAGUUGUCGAUAGAGGACUUAGGAACUCCUUGACUCUAUUGGAAGAUCUCGGCAUCUAAGCAGAAAUGCCGGCGUUUCUGAACAAGGGUCAGAAACAAAUGACCACUGAAGAUGCAAACUCAAGUCGCCUUGUAACAAAGAUACGAUGGGCGGUCGAGUCGGCAAAUGCCAGGAUAAAGAGGUACAAGUAUCUUGAGCAUACAAUGUAGAACAGCCAGAUCCCGUACAUUGGAGACUAUGUGCGAAUCGUCUGCGCACUGUCGAACAUCUAUUUCAAACCACUCUGUUCGCCAGCCCAAACAGAAAAGCACGAGCAAAUGGCCAUGCAGAUGCUUGAACAGAGAGCAAAGUCCUAUGUUUUGAAAAAUAUAGUGGAGGAAAAAAGUCUCAAUAGGAAAACUAAAGUUUGGAAAACUGUGGACGAGUGUGACCUUGAUAUCUUCCCCCGUCUGAAUGAUAAGGAAUUAAGCAAAUUAAAUUUGGAUGUGUAUCAGUUACGCUUGAGCUCUAGCUACAUCCAAGAACAUAUGGACGGCAACUGUGAUAUCAAACUUCACAUCGACGAGCCCAACCUCCUUGCUGUAAAAAUGCAAAGUAGGCGUACUAACAGCAGAAUGUACAUGCUCUGGAUCAGACUCAGUGACAAGGAUAUAACUGAAUGCUUUUGUCAAUGCCAAGCGGGGGCUAGGGUCGUGGGCAUGUGCUACCAUGUCGCGGCCAUAGCAUGGUAUUUGUCAUAUGCUAGGUUCCAGAACAGAGAUUCAUAUUGUGUACGUGAUUGGGGCAAGCACCUCUCCGAUGCAGCCAGCUUUGAGAUUGAAGAUGACUCUUCCAGCUGUAGUUCGAAAAGUGACAGCGAUUGAGCCGGAAAUGUAGAGCAAGCACAUUUUGCCACUUUGCUAUAAGUGAAACAUUUAGUUUAUAUUGAUUAAAAGAAGUAAUGAUAUUUGUCUGGCGUGGCAACAAGAAACAACAUCUGUAGCUUUGAAUUUUACAAGUGUUUUAAAUAGACGUCUAGGCAUUGUUUAAUAUUUUUUAUGAUAAGUUAUAUAUUUUAGUAUAUCAGCUGCUUUAUAAAUAUCAUUGAAUGUAGGUUAAAAGUGUAUUUUUGGUAAAAUAGUAACAGUAAUCAUCAACACAUUUAUGUGUCAUUUAUGUGAAUUGUGCUCAGUAUUCACAUAGAUUAUAUGAUUUGAUAUUUCAUUGUAAGUGUUUGCUUUAUUAGUUUUGUUUUGUACUUAGCAUAAAUGCGAAUUGUAAAUUUAAAAAUGGCAUUGUUAGCAAAACCAUGUCAAUGUAAUGACCGAAUUCAUUUGAAGGCAAUCCAGCAGGUCAGGUCAGUCAAGUUGUGCCAUUGUAUACCAGUCAUAAAAUGUACUGAUUUCUUUUUUGUCUUUAUUUGAUCAUGGAAAUUUCUAAUAUUUUAAAUAUCUAAUUUUAUAAGGAAUUAUACAAACUGUUAUAUCAGGUUUUAGGAAUCUACUACUGUAACACUAACUUUAAUUUACUUUGAAUUUGCAAUGUCCUUAUUUUGAGAUAAUCCAGUAUUAGAUUUCAUGACAGCUAAAAGCAAUACGCCAUGAUAACGGCUUGAAAUUAUGUUUUUAUGGGAAAUAGCAAUCCACAGUACAUGUAAUACGCAUCUAUACAGUAGU